AGCAGCCGCGGUAAUUCCAGCUCCAAUAGCGUAUAUUAAAGUUGUUGCAGUUAAAAAGCUCGUAGUUGAAUUUCGGGAUCAAUAUGUCGGUCGUGCCUUCGGUACGCACUGGUAUCAUUGGUCUCUCCUUUCUGACGAACCAUGAUGUCAUUAAUUUGGUGUUAUGGGGAGUUAGGACUGUUACUUUGAAAAAAUUAGAGUGUUUAAAGCAGGCUUUAGCUUGAAUACAUUAGCAUGGAAUAAUGAAAUAGGACGUUCGAACCUAUUUUGUUGGUUUCUAGGAUCAACGUAAUGAUUAAUAGGGAUAGUUGGGGGCAUUAGUAUUCAAUUGUCAGAGGUGAAAUUCUUGGAUUUAUUGAAGACUAACUACUGCGAAAGCAUUUGCCAAGGAUGUUUUCAUUAAUCAAGAACGAAAGUUAGGGGAUCGAAGACGAUCAGAUACCGUCGUAGUCUUAACCAUAAACUAUGUCGACUAGGGAUCGGAUGAUGUUAAUUUUUUAAUGACUCA
This 508-nucleotide ribosomal RNA is filed under the name Glomus sp. Glo9. RNAcentral's name for it is "SSU rRNA". It matches the Rfam family "Eukaryotic small subunit ribosomal RNA", at positions 569 to 1078 of the family's 1831-position model. Lineage: Eukaryota; Fungi; Glomeromycota; Glomeromycetes; Glomerales; Glomeraceae. The record is from RNAcentral.